UUAAACAAAAUGGAGUCACAUUUGCUCUUACUAUCACAAUACUUAAUGCCACUGAAUGGCACACCAUAAGUAGUUAAUUAAAUAUAAAAUUUAUGUUGAACAUGUUUUACCAUAAUAAAAGAAUAGAAGCCAGCUAUACGCUGACCAGGCACUAGUUCUUACACACAGAAAACAUAAAGAGGAGUGUGUGGAAGCGACAGGGAAGUGGAAAGAAUGGAAGCGGGCCCCAUGGACUUGAACGUGAUUCCAGAGCAGUAGCUUCUCUCAACUUUGUAGGAAGCUCCAAAGCCCACUUCUAAGGAGAACAUCAUUUAUUAUCCCUCGUUUAUUAUUUGCCAAAUAUAUUACCAAACCCACCUAAGCCGACUGUGUUCAUCUCCGGAGUCAUCGCCUGGAGUGAAAAGGACUUCCCCCUAGCGGCUGCACAGGGGGCUCACCAGAAACCUCAUGCCUCCAUAGACAAGCCCCCUUCCCCCAGGACCCACCACAUCCAUCAGCCUCACAAGUGAAGGAGCACCUACACCCCGGCAGUCCUGGCUUCGCUUCCCUGUGACAUCCCCCAUGGACACCCAGCACCUUCUCCAAGAGCUGCUCAAUCUGAGAAAUCUAAGACAAAGCCAAACACCCCUUCCUUUGUCUUAAAUUUCCAUAUUUAAAAUUAGAAACAUUCAAACCCCAAAUGUGUCCUAGGAGUCUUGGCGGGAUGUCAUUGAAAGAUUCUCACACCCUCCCCCAGAAGUGCCAAUAGCAGAAUAUGCUGAGACUCAAGUAAAAUGAAGUCCUUCACCCUUUAGCCUAAUUCUGUCCCCACAAUGUUCUGAAGUCCUGCCUGUGGUCCUGAGAACAAGAGGGCACCGUGUGGCAAGAUUCAAUAAGGUUAAGGAAAAGC
Non-coding RNA from Ictidomys tridecemlineatus (thirteen-lined ground squirrel), 889 nucleotides. The record is from RefSeq and is a predicted model, not a curated record. Lineage: Eukaryota; Metazoa; Chordata; Mammalia; Rodentia; Sciuridae.